Molecule: ribosomal RNA, 258 nt
Filed under: uncultured bacterium
Lineage: Bacteria
Description: partial 16S ribosomal RNA
Rfam family: Bacterial small subunit ribosomal RNA
Source: RNAcentral
UGGGGAAUAUUGCACAAUGGGCGCAAGCCUGAUGCAGCCAUGCCGCGUGUGUGAAGAAGGCCUUCGGGUUGUAAAGCACUUUCAGCGAGGAGGAAGGGUUCAGUGUUAAUAGCACUGUUCAUUGACGUUACUCGCAGAAGAAGCACCGGCUAACUCCGUGCCAGCAGCCGCGGUAAUACGGAGGGUGCAAGCGUUAAUCGGAAUUACUGGGCGUAAAGCGCACGCAGGCGGUUUGUUAAGUCAGAUGUGAAAUCCCGC